RNAcentral lists this ribosomal RNA (443 nucleotides) under uncultured bacterium. Its description in RNAcentral is "partial 16S ribosomal RNA". It matches the Rfam family "Bacterial small subunit ribosomal RNA", at positions 338 to 795 of the family's 1533-position model. The record is from RNAcentral.
CCUACGGGAGGCUGCAGUGGGGGAUAUUGGACAAUGGGGGGAACUCUGAUCCAGCGACGCCGCGUGAGUGAAGAAGUAUUUCGGUAUGUAAAGCUCUGUCAGCAGGGAAGAAAGAAAUGACGGUACCUGACCAAGAAGCCCCGGCUAACUACGUGCCAGCAGCCGCGGUAAUACGGAGGGGGCAAGCGUUAUCCGGAAUUACUGGGUGUAAAGGGAGCGUAGACGGUUAAGUAAGUCUGGAGUGAAAGGCCGGGGCCCAACCCCGGGACUGCUCUGGAAACUAUUGAACUUGAGUGCAGGAGAGGUAAGCGGAAUUCCUAGUGUAGCGGUGAAAUGCGUAGAUAUUAGGAGGAACACCAGUGGCGAAGGCGGCUUACUGGACGACUACUGACGCUGAGGCUCGAAAGCGUGGGGAGCAAACAGGAUUAGAUACCCUAGUAGUC